RNAcentral lists this transfer RNA (75 nucleotides) under Bacillus subtilis. Its description in RNAcentral is "tRNA-Thr". The record is from RNAcentral. Lineage: Bacteria; Bacillati; Bacillota; Bacilli; Caryophanales; Bacillaceae.
GCUUCCAUAGCUCAGCAGGUAGAGCACUUUCAUGGUAAGGAAGAAGGUCAGCCGGUUCGAGCCGCUUGGGGAGCU